Molecule: non-coding RNA, 673 nt
Filed under: Pongo abelii (Sumatran orangutan)
Lineage: Eukaryota; Metazoa; Chordata; Mammalia; Primates; Hominidae
Source: RNAcentral
UGUGAACUGACAAGCCCGUGGAUGUCUACAAAGAGUGAACUGAUCACUGUGGGCUGGCCUUUGAGGCAUCAGCAAGCUCCAGUGCCUGGGACGAUGCCUGACACUUAGCAGACAGUCAGUGAAUAUGUGUUAUAUAAAUGAAUGAAUACUUGGAGCGUGAGAAUCAGAGCGGCAAAAAUAUUUGUCCAUAAUAUGCCUAAAGAUAAAAAUGGAAGCCUCCGAACUAGAUAAAUGCAUUUUACAAGCGGUAAUACAAAGAGACAGGAUUAUAUGGUCUCCAAGGUCCCAUCCAGCCCAUUUAACACAGCGUUGUGGCUCUGGAGACCUGGAAGCACCACUAACUGUUCUCCUGAUUUUCUGAUGCUCAGCCACAUCAACCUGUCAUGCUAGUUGUGAGGAGAAGUCAAGGACAGUGACACAGCCAGCCAGUCUGAGGGGUUUUCCAUCAUCCUGAAGGAGUUGCCCUAUCCUGCUUUUCACUGGAGGGGGCAUGGAUGGGGACCCUGGAUGACAAAGCAGUCACCUACUUGAACACUACUAAUUAUGAUGUCAGAAAGAGGAAAGUUUGCAGAGUUUUGUAUUGGCAAUCAAACAUUCAGCCACAGGUCACAGUCUAGAACCAGACACAUCAGUGUCCUGAACUGCAAAGUAGCCAGGAAGCAGCAUCCCAUAA